GACGAACGCUGGCGGCGUGCCUAAUACAUGCAAGUAGAACGCUGAAGGAGGAGCUUGCUUCUCUGGAUGAGUUGCGAACGGGUGAGUAACGCGUAGGUAACCUGCCUGGUAGCGGGGGAUAACUAUUGGAAACGAUAGCUAAUACCGCAUAAUAGUAGAUGUUGCAUGACAUUUGCCUAAAAGGUGCAAUUGCAUCACUACCAGAUGGACCUGCGUUGUAUUAGCUAGUUGGUGGGGUAACGGCUCACCAAGGCGACGAUACAUAGCCGACCUGAGAGGGUGAUCGGCCACACUGGGACUGAGACACGGCCCAGACUCCUACGGGAGGCAGCAGUAGGGAAUCUUCGGCAAUGGACGGAAGUCCGACCGAGCAACGCCGCGUGAGUGAAGAAGGUUUUCGGAUCGUAAAGCUCUGUUGUAAGAGAAGAACGAGUGUGAGAGUGGAAAGUUCACACUGUGACGGUAUCUUACCAGAAAGGGACGGCUAACUACGUG
Molecule: ribosomal RNA, 495 nt
Filed under: uncultured bacterium
Lineage: Bacteria
Description: partial 16S ribosomal RNA
Rfam family: Bacterial small subunit ribosomal RNA
Source: RNAcentral